Molecule: ribosomal RNA, 2695 nt
Filed under: Clostridioides difficile
Lineage: Bacteria; Bacillati; Bacillota; Clostridia; Peptostreptococcales; Peptostreptococcaceae
Description: 23S ribosomal RNA
Rfam family: Bacterial large subunit ribosomal RNA
Source: RNAcentral
AAGUACCUGAAGGAAGAGAAAGAAAUUCGAUUCCGUAAGUAGCGGCGAGCGAACGCGGAUUAGCCCAAACCAAUAAAGUUUUCUUUAUUGGGGUUGCGGACAUAUCAUAACGAAGAGGUAUCGUAAUUGAAGAGGUUUGGAAAGACCCACCACAGAAGGUAAUAGUCCUGUAUGUUAAACGAGAAGACUUCAGAUAUGAUCCAGAGUACCACGGGACACGUGAAACCCUGUGGGAAGCAGGAGGGACCACCCUCCAAGGCUAAAUACUACCUAGUGACCGAUAGCGUAUAGUACCGUGAGGGAAAGGUGAAAAGAACCCCGGGAGGGGAGUGAAAUAGAACCUGAAACCCUGCACUUACAAGCUGUGGAAGCACAUUUCUUGUGUGACCGCGUACUUUUUGUAGAACGGGCCAACGAGUUACGUUAAGUAGCAAGGUUAAGCACUUAAGGUGUGGAGCCGUAGCGAAAGCGAGUUUUAACUGAGCGUUCAGUUACUUGACGUAGACCCGAAACCGGGCGACCUACCCAUGAGCAGGAUGAAGCGAAAGUAAAAUUUCGUGGAGGUCCGAACCCACGAGCGUUGAAAAGCUCGGGGAUGACUUGUGGGUAGCGGUGAAAUUCCAAUCGAGCCCGGAGAUAGCUGGUUCUCCCCGAAAUAGCUUUAGGGCUAGCCUCAAGGUGAGAGAUACGGAGGUAGAGCACUGAAUGUCCUAGGGGGUAUUGCACCUACCGAAGACUAUCAAACUCCGAAUGCCGUCAUCUUAUACUUGGGAGUCAGACUGUGGGUGAUAAGAUUCAUAGUCGAAAGGGCAACAGCCCAGAUCGUCAGCUAAGGUCCCUAAAUGUAAGUUAAGUGGUAAAGGAUGUGGGAUUGCACAGACAACCAGGAUGUUGGCUUAGAAGCAGCCACUCAUUCAAAGAGUGCGUAAUAGCUCACUGGUCGAGUGAUCCUGCGCCGAAGAUUUCCGGGGCUAAAACUUACUACCGAAGCUACGGCAUCAGUAAUGAUGGGUAGGGGAGCUUCCCAUACGGGUUGAAGCAUGACCGUAAGGACAUGUGGACAGUAUGGGAGUGAGAAUGUUGGCAUGAGUAGCGAGAUGUGGGUGAGAAUCCCACAGGCCGUAAACCCAAGGUUUCCAGGGGAAGGUUCGUCCGCCCUGGGUUAGUCGGGACCUAAGCUGAGGCCGAAAGGCGUAGGUGAUGGACAACAGGUUGAUAUUCCUGUACUACCGAUAACCGUUUGAGAGAAGGGAUGACACAGUAGGAUAAGCUAAGCACACUGUUGGUUAUGUGUGCCCAAGCAUUGAGGCAGUCAAAGUAGGCAAAUCCGCUUUGAUAAUGCUGGGAUGUGAUGGGGAGCGAAAUUUAGUAGCGAAGUAGCUGAUUUCACACUGUCAAGAAAAGUCUCUAUCGAGGUUAAAGGUACCCGUACCGCAAACCGACACAGGUGGGUGAGGAGAGUAUCCUAAGGCCAGCGAGAGAACUGUUGUUAAGGAACUCGGCAAAAUGACCCCGUAACUUAGGGAUAAGGGGUGCCACCAUCAGGUGGCCGCAGAGAAUAGGCCCAAGCGACUGUUUACCAAAAACAUAGGUUUCUGCUAAGUCGCAAGACGAUGUAUAGGAGCUGACGCCUGCCCGGUGCUGGAAGGUUAAGGGGAUCUGUUAGAGCAAUCGAAGCAGUGAACUUAAGCCCCAGUAAACGGCGGCCGUAACUAUAACGGUCCUAAGGUAGCGAAAUUCCUUGUCGGGUAAGUUCCGACCCGCACGAAAGGCGUAACGAUUUGGGCACUGUCUCAACAACAGACUCGGUGAAAUUGUAAUUCCGGUGAAGAUGCCGGAUACCUGCGACAGGACGGAAAGACCCCAUGGAGCUUUACUGUAGCUUGACAUUGGGUUUUGGUACUACAUGUACAGGAUAGGUGGGAGGCUUUGAAACCAGGACGCCAGUUUUGGCGGAGCCAUCCUUGGGAUACCACCCUUGUAGUACUGGGACUCUAACCAUAGGCCAUGAAUCUGGUCUUGGGACACUGUCAGGUGGGCAGUUUGACUGGGGCGGUCGCCUCCCAAAAGGUAACGGAGGCGCUCAAAGGUUCUCUCAGUACGGUCGGAAAUCGUACGUAGAGUGUAAAGGCAAAAGAGAGCUUGAUUGCAAGACAUACAGGUCGAGCAAGGAUGAAAAUCGGACUUAGUGAUCCGGUGGUUCUGCGUGGAAGGGCCAUCGCUCAACGGAUAAAAGCUACCCUGGGGAUAACAGGCUUAUCUCCCCCAAGAGUCCACAUCGACGGGGAGGUUUGGCACCUCGAUGUCGGCUCAUCACAUCCUGGGGCUGUAGUAGGUCCCAAGGGUUGGGCUGUUCGCCCAUUAAAGUGGUACGCGAGCUGGGUUCAGAACGUCGUGAGACAGUUCGGUCCCUAUCCGUCGCAGGCGUAGGAAAUUUGAGAAGACCUGUCCUUAGUACGAGAGGACCGGGAUGGACGUACCUCUGGUGUACCAGUUGUUCUGCCAAGGGCAUGGCUGGGUAGCUAUGUACGGAAUGGAUAAGCGCUGAAAGCAUCUAAGCGCGAAGCCAACUUCAAGAUAAGAUUUCCCACCGCAAGGGUAAGACCCCAGAAAGACUAUCUGGUUGAUAGGUCGAAGGUGUAAGUGCAGCAAUGUAUUUAGCUUAUCGAUACUAAUAGGUCGAGGACUUGACCAA